AGAGCAGGUUCCACAGCAGACAAGUGCUC
This 29-nucleotide non-coding RNA is filed under the name Rattus norvegicus (Norway rat). Lineage: Eukaryota; Metazoa; Chordata; Mammalia; Rodentia; Muridae. The record is from RNAcentral.